Molecule: ribosomal RNA, 253 nt
Filed under: uncultured bacterium
Lineage: Bacteria
Description: partial 16S ribosomal RNA
Rfam family: Bacterial small subunit ribosomal RNA
Source: RNAcentral
UACGGAGGGGGCUAGCGUUGUUCGGAAUUACUGGGCGUAAAGCGCGCGUAGGCGGAUCUGCAAGUCGGGGGUGAAAUCCCGAGGCUCAACCUCGGAACUGCCUUCGAUACUGCGGGUCUCGAGUCCGGGAGAGGUGAGUGGAAUUCCUAUUGUAGAGGUGAAAUUCGUAGAUAUUAGGAAGAACACCAGUGGCGAAGGCGGCUCACUGGCCCGGUACUGACGCUGAGGCGCGAAAGCGUGGGGAGCAAACAGG